AGCAUUAGCGGAGCUUGCUCCCUCGAUGUUAGCGGCGGACGGGUGAGUAACACGUGGGUAACCUGCCUGUAAGACUGGGAUAACUCCGGGAAACCGGGGCUAAUACCGGAUGCUUGUUUGAACCGCAUGGUUCAAACAUAAAAGGUGGCUUCGGCUACCACUUACAGAUGGACCCGCGGCGCAUUAGCUAGUUGGUGAGGUAAUGGCUCACCAAGGCAACGAUGCGUAGCCGACCUGAGAGGGUGAUCGGCCACACUGGGACUGAGACACGGCCCAGACUCCUACGGGAGGCAGCAGUAGGGAAUCUUCCGCAAUGGACGAAAGUCUGACGGAGCAACGCCGCGUGAGUGAUGAAGGUUUUCGGAUCGUAAAGCUCUGUUGUUAGGGAAGAACAAGUACCGUUCGAAUAGGGCGGUACCUUGACGGUACCUAACCAGAAAGCCACGGCUAACUACGUGCCAGCAGCCGCGGUAAUACGUAGGUGGCAAGCGUUGUCCGGAAUUAUUGGGCGUAAAGGGCUCGCAGGCGGUUCCUUAAGUCUGAUGUGAAAGCCCCCGGCUCAACCGGGGAGGGUCAUUGGAAACUGGGGAACUUGAGUGCAGAAGAGGAGAGUGGAAUUCCACGUGUAGCGGUGAAAUGCGUAGAGAUGUGGAGGAACACCAGUGGCGAAGGCGACUCUCUGGUCUGUAACUGACGCUGAGGAGCGAAAGCGUGGGGAGCGAACAGGAUUAGAUACCCUGGUAGUCCACGCCGUAACGAUGAGUGCUAAGU
This 771-nucleotide ribosomal RNA is filed under the name Bacillus subtilis. RNAcentral describes it as "bacterial SSU rRNA". It matches the Rfam family "Bacterial small subunit ribosomal RNA", at positions 65 to 821 of the family's 1533-position model. The record is from RNAcentral. Lineage: Bacteria; Bacillati; Bacillota; Bacilli; Caryophanales; Bacillaceae.